UUUGACGUUACCCGCAGAAGAAGCACCGGCUAACUCCGUGCCAGCAGCCGCGGUAAUACGGAGGGUGCAAGCGUUAAUCGGAAUGACUGGGCGUAAAGCGCACGCAGGCGGUCAAUUAAGUUAGAUGUGAAAUCCCCGGGCUCAACCUGGGAAUGGCAUCUAAGACUGGUUGGCUGGAGUCUCGUAGAGGGGGGUAGAAUUCCAUGUGUAGCGGUGAAAUGCGUAGAGAUGUGGAGGAAUACCGGUGGCGAAGGCGGCCCCCUGGACGAAGACUGACGCUCAGGUGCGAAAGCGUGGGGAGCAAACAGGAUUAGAUACCCUGGUAGUCCACGCUGUAAACGAUGUCGAUUUGGAGGUUGUGGCCUUGAGCUGUGGCUUCCGAAGCUAACGCGUUAAAUCGACCGCCUGGGGAGUACGGCCGCAAGGUUAAAACUCAAAUGAAUUGACGGGGGCCCGCACAAGCGGUGGAGCAUGUGGUUUAAUUCGAUGCAACGCGAAGAACCUUACCUACUCUUGACAUCCAGAGAAGACCUCAGAGAUGAGGUUGUGCCUUCGGGAGCUCUGAGACAGGUGCUGCAUGGCUGUCGUCAGCUCGUGUUGUGAAAUGUUGGGUUAAGUCCCGCAACGAGCGCAACCCUUAUCCUUUGUUGCCAGCGCGUGAAGGCGGGAACUCAAAGGAGACUGCCGGUGAUAAACCGGAGGAAGGUGGGGAUGACGUCAAGUCAUCAUGGCCCUGACGAGUAGGGCUACACACGUGCUACAAUGGCGGAUACAAAGUGAAGCGACCUCGCGAGAGCAAGCGGAACACACAAAGUCUGUCGUAGUCCGGAUUGGAGUCUGCAACUCGACUCCAUGAAGUCGGAAUCGCUAGUAAUCGUAGAUCAGCAUGCUACGGUGAAUACGUUCCCGGGCCUUGUACACACCGCCCGUCACACCAUGGGAGUGGGUUGCAAAAGAAGUCGGUAGCUUAACCGCAAGGAGGGCGCUGACCACUUUGUGGCUCAUGACUGGGGUGAAGUCGUAACAAGGUAACCGUAGGGGAACCUGCGGUUGGAUCACCUCCUUACCU
Molecule: ribosomal RNA, 1069 nt
Filed under: Photorhabdus luminescens subsp. mexicana
Lineage: Bacteria; Pseudomonadati; Pseudomonadota; Gammaproteobacteria; Enterobacterales; Morganellaceae
Description: bacterial SSU rRNA
Rfam family: Bacterial small subunit ribosomal RNA
Source: RNAcentral